GGUGAACGCUGGCGGCGUGCCUAAUACAUGCAAGUCGAGCGAACAGACGAGGAGCUUGCUCCUCUGACGUUAGCGGCGGACGGGUGAGUAACACGUGGAUAACCUACCUAUAAGACUGGGAUAACUUCGGGAAACCGGAGCUAAUACCGGAUAAUAUAUUGAACCGCAUGGUUCAAUAGUGAAAGACGGUUUUGCUGUCACUUAUAGAUGGAUCCGCGCCGCAUUAGCUAGUUGGUAAGGUAACGGCUUACCAAGGCAACGAUGCGUAGCCGACCUGAGAGGGUGAUCGGCCACACUGGAACUGAGACACGGUCCAGACUCCUACGGGAGGCAGCAGUAGGGAAUCUUCCGCAAUGGGCGAAAGCCUGACGGAGCAACGCCGCGUGAGUGAUGAGGGUCUUCGGAUCGUAAAACUCUGUUAUUAGGGAAGAACAAAUGUGUAAGUAACUAUGCACGUCUUGACGGUACCUAAUCAGAAAGCCACGGCUAACUACGUG
Molecule: ribosomal RNA, 497 nt
Filed under: uncultured bacterium
Lineage: Bacteria
Description: partial 16S ribosomal RNA
Rfam family: Bacterial small subunit ribosomal RNA
Source: RNAcentral